Molecule: long non-coding RNA, 3114 nt
Organism: Clupea harengus (Atlantic herring)
Lineage: Eukaryota; Metazoa; Chordata; Actinopteri; Clupeiformes; Clupeidae
Source: RefSeq, a predicted model, not a curated record
CCUCUAGACAGAGAAGGGCUUCGGUAGAUUUGUCGGACUGUCGAGUAAGCAGUCUGGCUAGCGGUAUCGUUGCUGCGGCUGGAAUGGGGGGCUUGGCCCCAGGCCAACAGUGGUUAGAAAGGCUCAUUGUUGGGUGUAACUAACUACCAAAUUUAAAGCUAUUGGUAGGUGACUCAACGCAGCCUUAAACGGGGCCGCAGUACCCAGUAAAAGGCUGUGCUAAUUGUUUUGAGAACGGUACCUUGGCUAUCUAAUAUCCAUUCAACUGAAUUACCUGUUUUUUUGCAUGAUAUUGCUGUGCAACAGCAAUUCUGAGUCAAAACUGGACGACAUGAAGGGGUGUUAUUCCCCCCUCACUCCUGUCUGGCGCGCCGGGUCUGCAGUGGAGCUGUUAACAGAUGAUCCCGAAACCGGCAUCUAAGUGAGAACCAGAGCAAUGGGACGCUCCCUGAGUGGCAACAUCAGAGUCCCUUUCUCUUCCGAAAUGGAGGGGAUCGACAAUGAAUACUCAACAUUCCUUUCACCUGAUGUUGGAUAGAUAGGGUUUUUAUCAUGAAAAAAAACCUACAGGGGAGAUUUUACCCCCAUAUUGUAAUGUUUUUAUUUCCAUAGUCAUUUUCUUUUAUGUGUUUUUGUGUUUGUUUUGGUUGACUGUACGGUAUGAGGUAAAGCUCUACCAUGAGUGUGGGGCAUGGCUCCCUCUGUGUGUCUGUGUAUUUUAUUAUAGUUUUUUUUUUAUUAAUGUGUUAGGAAAACUCGGGACUCUAAGCCUUGAUGAUAUUUAAACCUUCUUGGGGGAGACGGAGGGAAAGAUGCCAAAAAAAAAGGGGGGGGGGGGAGAAAGCAACCUGAGGUAGAGCUGACAUGAUUGGAGCUACCCAGAAGCCCAUGCGUCUGUGUUUACAAACCCCACAGGUGGCCCCACACGGCCGACAGCCCUUGCAGCAGCAUGUCUUCCACUUGUCCACUCAACACACUUUGCACUGCUUGUUUCAUUCUCCACAUCCACUGUAUAUGUCGUUUUAGUUCGUAACCCCAGGCCCCAGCACCACAACCAUUUGUCAGCGCCCAACUCCCAGUUCAGACCUAUUCAAAGCCAAGCACAGCUCGUUUGUCUUGUUGAUUCACUCUGGUCUAUGCACUUGUUCACAAGUGCUCUGAUCAGGAUCUCAAAAGUCCCUGUGUCUUUUCUGUAUUUAAGCUUUAUGCAAGUCAGAACAUGUGCACCUCUGAACGAGAUGGCAAAAACAUCAGAAAUCCUACAGACAAUAAAACACUCAAUCUACAGGCACACCUUCCACGUGUGCUAACGACCCUCUUUUGUGAGUCACACACUAAAGAUCUAUGUUUAAUCUCAUUCUGAUACCACGGUCAAUCUAAUUUCACUAUUCACACUCUUGACAGUUAUUUCCUGAGGCUAAGAGUCCCUGCUUAUCAUGUAUUUUAGUAAGUGCUUUCUGAGCUCAUGGUGUGUUCAUUUUGUUUUAUUUUUAGAAUGUUGCUUUUUAGUUUUGUUGUUUUCUUUUCUUUUGGUUCUGUUUUGCUUUGCUAGUAUAAAAAGAUAUCUAUAAUAAUGUGCGUUGUAAUUUAGAAGUAGCUGUAGAAAUGCAUUGUUUCCUUGUGGUAAGUGAUUGAGAUGCUGCCACGGAAGUAAGACACUGAUGAAUGGUGCUAUUUUGGACUUUAAUCUGCUACUUGGUGAGGUAGCUCUGGUGGGUUUCAUUUUAUAUGUUCAUGUUCUGAGAAGGUGUUGGUUCUUUGUGGUCUGGACGUUGUAUACUUGGUCUGGAUUGACUUUUUUUUUCCUGUUGAUUUUCUGUGCGGCUUUCUCAUUGGAUUUAUGGAUGAAACAAACAAAAGAGGAAAAUAGGCACAGUUGAUAUUUUCAGAAGGUGGCGAUCCAAUCACGUGUGGAGGGUGGGAGCAAUCACAAAACUGCAAUCCUUUAAAAGAGCUGUUUUGCCCCCUCAGCACAGAUAAGACUCGGACAUGAUAGUUAUAGGCUAGUUCCCAGCACAGGUCACUUUUAGAAAAUGUAAUGCUCCCUCUAAUUAUGUACCACAUGAAGAGUCACACUAACUAUAUAAAGAGUGUAUUUUGUGGCGCAGUACUGUCAUGGGUACAUCAACCUGAGAUUUGCACAUUGCAUAUUAAGAAUGCUUCCAUCAAUCAAUCAAUCAAUCGAAGAAGUCUCAACACAUGCCACAGCAUUAAAUGAGCUUUCUGCUUCUUCCAUUGCUUUGCAUAGUUUAGAGGCUAUGAUGUGGGGAUGGGGGGAGGGUACGAAAUGGCGAACCAUUUUGCCAUAGUCCCUUCCAAAAGCCAUGCACCUUCUUCAGACGCAGCUCGUCUGGGGCUCAGGGGUGUUAGAUGCUGCAUCUUUACCAGCAGGCCAAGACCUGUACGUCUGAUAAUCUAACUGUCUCUGGUCAGACAGUCAAUCUUAAAUUGUGAUGCACAUAAUUUUUUUUAGAAAUGCAUUUUCCAAAAAAAGCCAAAUAUGUAGCAUAAAGAAGCUGAACAAUCUUCAUAAUGACUUACCUAUUUUGUAAAGUAAUAUUAGAAUUAUUUUUCUUUGAUAAAAUAUGAACCAAAAAGCUUUCUAUGAAUUAUUUUGUCUAGUGAGGUUAACUUAAGUAUUGUUAUUCAGUAUUUGCAGUUUUGUCUUUGCUUCCUGUCGAUUCAUACUUUUAAAAGUCUCAAUAUGACGACCAACUUGAAAGCCCACAUUAGUUUCUUUGUCUUCCAUUCUUACUCCAGUAUGGAGGACCCUCCUAGCUUACUGUAGUUCUUCCUUGACUCCAUUAUCCUGUCCACUUGCAUGUUCUGUGCUGUUUUGUUUCUCUUCAGUACUUUUUCAAUUAUUCUUCCUCAUAGACUAGGUAUGCCAGCUGUCUUGUACAUAGCAAGUGAUUAGUAUAGGCAGGGGCGGCAACAGUAUGAGAUAAUAUGUAUUAUUGAAUGUGUAUGAUUGGUUUUAAAAACUAAUGACAAAAAAAAACACACAAAACCAGCUUAGUUACAGUAUCUUAAUUAUGAAGCACUGAUAGUAUUCCAUGUACUUUUGGCAAAUUUAGCAGUAGUUAAAUAAAUUUGCAAGCUCUGAAAAAUGAA